GAAAUUAAACCUGAUAAGUUGUUGCUGGUUCUCUAGGGAGCAUGUGCACACUUGUCAUUUUUGUAUUUCCACCUGUGCACUUUUUGUAGACCUGAGUAUCUCUCUGUAUGCUUAGCCAUUCAGGAAUGAGGAUUGACUUUCAGUCUCUUCCUUACAUUUUCAGGUCUAUGUUUCUUCAUAUACCCUAUGUAUGUUUAUAGAGUGUUGUUAAUGGGCCUUUGUGCCUAUAAACCUAUACAACUUUCAGCAACGGAUCUCUUGGCUCU
RNAcentral lists this unclassified non-coding RNA (266 nucleotides) under rhizosphere metagenome. RNAcentral describes it as "partial ribosomal RNA internal transcribed spacer region". The record is from RNAcentral.